RNAcentral lists this long non-coding RNA (2254 nucleotides) under Sparus aurata (gilthead seabream). RNAcentral describes it as "lncRNA (ENSSAUG00010001973.1)". Lineage: Eukaryota; Metazoa; Chordata; Actinopteri; Spariformes; Sparidae. The record is from RNAcentral.
GGCACCAAACUCCAGCUAACUCCACCGCUAAAAUUAGCUAACUAGCUUACAGUAGCAACGGCUAGCAGAUGUUAGCGGUGACUCUUGUGCUAGCUGCCUCCUGUUUCACUCAGGUACCCCUCCACAGCGAGGCUACUCUCAGAAGACAGUCCACCUCUGACCCAGCUCCUGUCACAGGUGAGCUCACCUGCUCUGAUCAGCUCCCUCUAGCCCCUCCCUCCCUCCCUCCCUCCUGACACAACUGUGACUUCUGCACGUUCACAUCAGACAACAGCCUGUUUAUGAGAGGAACACAUCUGAAGGAGUGUGUUGGAAUGCGUGCAGCCUCAUGUUGACCACAGAGCCUGCGCUGUUUCACAUGAAGACCGCGGGACCUCAUCACGUGUGCGUAAUGUCAGUACUUUACUCUUCAAUAAGCCGAUAUUUGACGACAUUUAGUCAAGUGUGCACCAUUUAACGUACGCCGAAUUAACCACAAGCAGCCGGUGUUUUCAACGCAUUCACGGAUGUAGACUUGAAUAUCACCGGAUUAUUUUGACAGUGAAGAAAACGUAAAAAUGGGACAUUUUUAAGGCGAGUUCUGGAGGCGAUUUUUUUACCCUACAAUUUCCAAGCGUUUAUUUGUUCGUUUGCUGGCGUUUAUUCGUGAUGGACGGGUGCAACAGUGACGGAUGGUAAUUACUGUGCGUCAGAUCGCCUCUUAAACCAGUCUGACUGGAUCAGCUGUGAACAUCAGGGGACAAAACUCACAGAAGCACCAGAGGAGAGGAGAAGACCUCCAGCUGAGCUUAGGUAGACGAUGGCGUGUGUGUUGGCUCUUCUCGUCCUGUCCCUCCUCCUGAUUGGUCCGUCAGCCUCACUUCCAUCUUCAGGUGACGUGUCAGAGGGGGCGGAGCCGGCCUCUCACUGCCCGCCGCGCUGGCUCCUGUUGGGGCAGAGAUGCUUCGCUUUCUACCCCGUGUGGAGCUCCUGGAGCUCUGCUGAGUCCAUGUGCUCUCAGACAGGGGGUCACCUGGCGUCCCUUCACACCCCGGAGGAGAGGCUGUUCGUGGGUCAGCUGAUGAGAACACACACACCUGUGUGGCUGGGUGGACGCCGGGCCCAACAGAACGGCUCCUGGGUUUGGACUGACGAUCAGAACCAGGAAGAGACCGGCGAGGGCGGGGCUUGCAUGCAAAUGGACCCAAUAAGUGGAGAGCUGCAUGGCGCCCCCUGUGGAGAGCUCUGGUUCUACAUCUGCUCCACCGCAGCCAGGUCUGAAGACUUCCAGUCACCAGUCAAGUCAGGUCUCGCCCCCAAUGUGAGUCUGUUCCAUGCAGUGUGGGGUAAAAACGACAUGUUGGCCGAGGAGAUUCUCCGCUCAUCCUGCUUCUUCCAGGAGCUCCGGUCCGGUCGCCUGAAGCAGCGCUGCUACAGCAGCUUCAUGCAGCAGGAGGCGCUCUACCUGCAGAGAGUCAGCAGCAUGCUGGAGGUCAGAGGUCGUCAAUGUCGGACUGCAUCCUUUCUUUACUUCUGUCUUUUCAUUUCUUUACUUCUGUCUUCUUUCUGUUUUUCUUUCCUUCUUUAUUUCUUUCUUUUUUUUCUUUCAUUCUUUCUUUCUUUUCAUUCUUUCUUUCUUUCUUUUCUGUUUUUCUUUCUUUCUUUCUUUUCUGUCUUUCUUUUCUUUCAUUCUUUCUUUCUUUCUUUUCUGUUUUUCUUUCUUUCUUUCUUUUCUGUCUUUCUUUCUUUCAUUCUUUCUUUGUUUCUUUUCUGUUUUUCUUUCUUUUCAGUCUUUCUUUCUUUCUUUCUUCCUUUCUUUUCAUUCGUUCUUUCUGUCUUUCUUUUCUUUUUUCUUUCUUUUCAUUCUUUCUUUCUUUUCAUUGCUUUCUUUUCUGUUUUUCUUUCAUUCUUUCUUGUGUCUUCUGUUUUUCUUUCUUUUUCUUUCUUUCUUUCUUUCUUUCUUUCUUUCUUUCUUUUCAUUCUUUCUUCCUUUCCUUUGUUUCUGUCUUUCUUUGUAUUUCUUUGUAUUCUUUCUUUCUUCCUUUUCAUUCAUUCUUUCUUUCUUUCUGUCUUUUUUUUCAUUUUCUCAUCUUUUUUUUUAUUUCUUUUCUGUUUUUCUUUCUUUCUUCUUUCUUUCGUUUCUUUCUUCCUUCCUUUCUUUUCAUUCUUUCAUUCUUUCUUCCUUUCCGUUCUUUCUGUCUUUCUUUUCAUUCUUUCUGCCUUUCUUUCUUUUCAUUCUUUCUUUCUCUCAGAACUUUUUUUUGUUUUUUAUUAA